GCAAACAUCCGUCAUGCACCAGUCCGUGGUAGGAGCACAACCCAAGGGGCUGGGGCGGCAGCCAAGCGUGGGAACCUAGGUUAACAGGAAGACAUCUCCGUCUACCAGCAUGCUGAAGUGAGGGUGAAGAUGCAUAUGCUCUUACACUUCGGGAUAUACAUUCUCCACAUGCGCCAAGAAAACCUACAAGGAGGAAGGUGCUUCCAGAACAUUACUUCCAGACCCACCGUGGAGGCAAAUGGGGACUGACCGCCAGGCAUCUGCCUGAGGAGCUGCAGAUGCCAUCCCUGCGCAGAUAACAUCCCUGAUUCCACUUCAAAGAUUUGUCAUCUUUUUCAUGCCUUAAACUGAAAAUAGCAGAAUCAAUGCAAUUCCAACAAAAAUCCAGCAGUUUGGUGUGCUCCGACCAUAUGACAUUUUGGAAAAGGAAAAACUAUGAAGACAAAAAACCCUCAGUGGUGAGAUGGGGAAAUCAGGCAUUCUUAGCAUUCUUAGCUCCAUCGAAUGGCAUCAACUGUCUGGGAACGGAGAGCUGCUAACUUCUCUACAGAUCACUCAGCACAAUUCAGGUGGUGAACGGAGAGAGCUGUAGGGACGAUGACUUGUCAAUUCAGGCCAUGGAAUUAAUGACGCUUAUGAGGGUUCCCAUCUACUUGCUCACAGAGGACUCGGUUCGAAAGGUCCAUGGAGACCCACUUCAUGAGACGGGCCGGGAGGAGUGAUGUGCGUUCACUGGGUCAGAAUUUAGCAGUAAGUGGUUUGUUGGUUCUUCUUGAAGAGAAACCUAAUGGCAUUCGCCCAAGGCUUAUAGACAAAAGUUCAGGAAACUACAGAUCUGCACAAACAAGGAAACUGCAGGAGGAGGCGCCGAAUGCAGAGAAUCCUCUUCCUGCAUGAGGACUGGCCUGCAUGGCCUCCCACAUGCUGGCCCUCCCCUGUGGCCUGGGUGGUGAGUGACAGGACUCUGACCCACUCCGUCCCCCUGCAGUUCAGUUUCUCCCUAAUUACCAGCUGGCCAUUUAAAGAGCUAGUUUUCCAACAAGGCACAAUUGCACAUUGUUGUCUAACUUUUCUUGACCAAAUUAAUGGGGAGGCAUCAUGCAGAUCUCCUGUUUACUGAAGCCAUAAAGCCAUCUGGUCCUGUAGCCUGUCUCUGAGCUGGCUCCUGGCCCCAGCAUGGGCUUAGUGUCUUCCGUCCUCACCAGCACAGCUGCCCAGCUGCUGCCGACAGCACACAGCAUCAAGUGUCUUUUUUCCCACAUCCUUGCUUCGUUUUCCUUUGUUCCAGUUUCUGUGGGAUCACCUCAUGUGCAGCCCAUACAAGGCAGUCCAUUUCCAAAUGUCCUGUAGAUUUCUCCCAAAAACCUUGCAAGUAUUUCCAGCCUUAACCCAGCACUCCUAAGUGUCUCAGAGACAGAAGGUGCAUUGGAGGAAGCUGCAAGGACACCCUCGGUGACCCGGCAUAAGGGUGCGACCAGCACUUUCAGGGCGCCGGGCAUGUGCCCCACAAACUCCACCUCCAUGUGGGGAGCUGCAGGCGUUCAAGUCCGGAUCUGGCACCCCCCCAGAGUCAUGGAUUUCAAAUCACAGAUAUUAGGAAAAAUGAGACUGUUGCCAUUGAGUAACUUGAUAAGUAUAUACAAUUGUCAUGAUAACUAUACAGAGUUAUAUUCUUUAAUAUAAGAAUAUAUUAUGAUGUUAUAAGUUUAGAUAUUUCCUCAAACACUUUGGUGUUCUUUAGCAUAACACCAACCUCCAAAUUCUAGCAAUUUCUGCUCAUACUUAGUCAGUGGAAGUGUAUGUCUGCACCUACACUCUCUCCAAACUCAGUCAUGGCAGCUAAACCCUUGUGGCAUAGCAGCAGGAUUAUGACCUUUCUUAGCCCCGAAAUACCCUCAAGGGCAAGUGUCAAGGGGCACUGCAGGUGCGCAGCACUGAUCUCACCGUCUACAUGACUCUGAGCUGGAAGCAAAAUGAAUGUCUCUGGUUCUGGUGCUUUGGGCCAGUAAAGAAACGCAUGCUACAGUAUUUAUUUUAUAUGACACUUUAAAUGAUUCCAGCACUUAAGGACGUUAAGACCACUGUAAACCAUGCCACCUUCACGACAUUGUGCAAACGCUGCUGGGAUUAGUUGAAACUUC
Talpa occidentalis (Iberian mole) is the source of this 2141-nucleotide long non-coding RNA. RefSeq lists it as uncharacterized. NCBI's taxonomy places the organism in Eukaryota, Metazoa, Chordata, Mammalia, Eulipotyphla, Talpidae. The transcript is spliced from 5 exons. The record is from RefSeq and is a predicted model, not a curated record.